This 86-nucleotide small nucleolar RNA is filed under the name Vanderwaltozyma polyspora DSM 70294. RNAcentral describes it as "Small nucleolar RNA snR54". It matches the Rfam family "Small nucleolar RNA snR54". From Rfam's summary of the family: snR54 is a member of the C/D class of snoRNA which contain the C (UGAUGA) and D (CUGA) box motifs. Most of the members of the box C/D family function in directing site-specific 2'-O-methylation of substrate RNAs. The record is from Rfam by way of RNAcentral. Lineage: Eukaryota; Fungi; Ascomycota; Saccharomycetes; Saccharomycetales; Saccharomycetaceae.
AGUAAUGAUGAUUAAUCCUAAUUCUAAUAACUUUCGUUCUACUGACUGCGAUCAAACGAUCUUGUAGAGAUUUUUUAACUCUGAUA